RNAcentral lists this ribosomal RNA (884 nucleotides) under Russula cessans. RNAcentral describes it as "LSU rRNA". It matches the Rfam family "Eukaryotic large subunit ribosomal RNA", at positions 92 to 952 of the family's 3401-position model. The record is from RNAcentral. Lineage: Eukaryota; Fungi; Basidiomycota; Agaricomycetes; Russulales; Russulaceae.
AGUGAAGCGGGAAAAGCUCAAAUUUGAAAUCUGGUGGUCUUUGGCCGUCCGAGUUGUAAUUUAGAGAAGCGUCUUCCGCGCUGGACCGUGCACAAGUCUCCUGGAACGGAGCGUCGUAGAGGGUGAGAAUCCCGUCUUUGGCAUGGACACACCAGGGCUUUUGCGAUGCGCUCUCGAAGAGUCGAGUUGUUUGGGAAUGCAGCUCAAAAUGGGUGGUGAACUCCAUCUAAAGCUAAAUAUUGGCGAGAGACCGAUAGCGAACAAGUACCGUGAGGGAAAGAUGAAAAGCACUUUGGAAAGAGAGUGAAACAGUACGUGAAAUUGUUGAAAGGGAAACGCUUGAAGUCAGUCGCGUCGUCCGAGACUCAGCCUCGCCUCGGCUUGGUGUACUUCUCGGCCCGACGGGUCAGCAUCAAUUUCGCCUCUCGGAUAAUGGCGAGGGAAAAGUGACACCAUUACGGUGUGUUAUAGUCUCUCGUCGCAUGCGAGGGUCGGGAUUGAGGAACUCAGCACGCGCCCUCGGGCGUCGGGGUUUUUGCCCACGAUACGUGCUUAGGAUGUUGGCGUAAUGGCUUUAAACGACCCGUCUUGAAACACGGACCAAGGAGUCUAACAUGCCUGCGAGUGUUCGGGUGGAAAACCCGUGCGCGCAAUGAAAGUGAAAGUUGGGACCUCCGUCGUGGAGGGCACCGACGCCCGGACCAGACCUUCUGUGACGGCUCUGCGGUAGAGCAUGCAUGUUAGGACCCGAAAGAUGGUGAACUAUGCCUGAAUAGGGUGAAGCCAGAGGAAACUCUGGUGGAGGCUCGUAGCGAUUCUGACGUGCAAAUCGAUCGUCAAAUUUGGGUAUAGGGGCGAAAGACUAAUCGAACCAUCUAGUAGCU